RNAcentral lists this ribosomal RNA (253 nucleotides) under uncultured bacterium. Its description in RNAcentral is "partial 16S ribosomal RNA". It matches the Rfam family "Bacterial small subunit ribosomal RNA", at positions 524 to 776 of the family's 1533-position model. The record is from RNAcentral.
UACGGAGGGUGCGAACGUUAAUCGGAAUUACUGGGCGUAAAGGGCGCGUAGGCGGCCAUCUAAGUCAGACGUGAAAUCCCCCGGCUUAACCUGGGAACUGCGUCUGAUACUGGAAGGCUUGAGUAUGGGAGAGGGAUGUAGAAUUCCAGGUGUAGCGGUGAAAUGCGUAGAUAUCUGGAGGAAUACCGGUGGCGAAGGCGGCAUCCUGGACCAUUACUGACGCUGAGGCGCGAAAGCUAGGGGAGCAAACGGG